UCAUGACGUGGGCUAGCCACAACACUUAUACACACAUAGCACAAAUUAACUUAUGAAACAUAUUAUGUGUGCACUAUGGCGUUGUUUGGAUAAGGGGAACAUACAGAUCGGGAUCUCCAUAAGCCAGAAAAACGGCCUAACCGUACAAAAUCUUGUUUGGCUCCUCCAACGAACCCAUGCAUAUAGGAAACUCGUUUCACAAAAGCCCAAAAUUCCAGGUUUAUGGGAAAACGAGUAUUAGUCGUUUUUCCACAAACGCGAUUAACAAAUACAGAUCGCAACUGUCCAUCUCCGCCUCCGCCCUUUCCUGAACAACCACAUUGGCACCAAUUUUUCUUUCUGCGACUCACCUCCCGCCUUUUUCCAUUGCCUAUAUAACAGGAUUUGUUGGCCGCAUGGUGCGUUCCACACACAGAUCACAUAGGCUGGCUGCGAUCCCCGGCCACAGGCACUGGAUGGAAUACAUCGCCUUUGGAUCUGAACUUGGCCGUCUUCAAUAGGACUGCACACCUCCAUCGAGCUCUUGUUAUCAUCAUCAUCUUCCGGUCUUCAAUCAGGAUUCGUGGCUUCACCCGUCCUACACGGUAAGAUAAACCAUCUAGAGUUACAAAAUUCUGCAGUACGAAUUGUUUUUGUAAAUACGUUCAUGCUACUGUUCAUUGAAUUAAUUCUAUUGGCAGCGAACCCUAUUUUCCAUACAACCCCUGAUAAUUUUAUUUAGGCAAUUCCUAGAUUAUACAAGAUCCAAUAACAUGGUAAUUCCUAAAUAUGAAUUUAUGGUACAUACGAGAAUCAGGGUGCUCUAUAAAUGCACCAUACAUAUUAAAAUAAUCCAACACCGAACCACAAUAAUAUUGUCAAUCAGUGUAUAUAUCCAAGUGCAGUAGUUAGUUUUUCAUGAGAAGGAUACAGUUUAAAUCACAGUAUAAGGAUAAUUUUGCAUAAGUAUCAAUCAUAUCUAUCCAUAUUAUAUAGUGUAUGGUAAGAGCUAUGAAGUAAGCAAAUGAAGAUCAGAAUACCUUGUGAUGUCCAAUGUGAAGUUCACGGCAAUAAGUGGGGAAACCUAGCCCAGCUUCAUAGUAAAUGAACUUCAUGCUUGAGAUCUUGGCUGCAACCCAGCAAAGUAACUGGUCAGGGAACAUCCCAUUAGGCGAACAUGCGACAAAAAUUGAAGUGUCCAGUCACACUUUGAACAAAAGAUUAGUUCACUCCUAGACUCCCAUUUGUGUACAACGACCACAGGAUUACCCCUCAAAAGAUCGAAAUAUUAGUGGCAUGCUCAUUUUCUUCCACUUCGUAGAUUUAUCGUAAUGAACAAAAUGACUCAUCUUGCAUUAUUUCUUCUUGUAUCUCCCUGUAGAAAAAUAUGGAUGAUGAGAAGGACAAAAUAAUUAGGAAGGAAAACACAGAUAAAGCUAAGCGCCACGUAUGGAAAUCUUCAGAGGACAAAAUACUACUCAAUAUAUUGAAAGAUCAAAGUCUACAGGGAGGGAAAAAAGGAAUAAGUUACACACAGAAAGCAUGGCGUGUUAUCUUAGGACAAUUCAACGAUUCAAGGGUAGAGAAACUUGAAUUACAAUAACUGAAAAAUCGUCAUAAGUACUACAGGAGUUGCUAUAGUACCAUGGACAGACUUCUAAAACUCACGGGAUUUGGUUGGGACGAUGAUGAUAAAAUGAUAAAAGCUUCAGAAGAAAUUUGGGAAGAACUAAUUAAGGUAAGGAUUUGCGAGUAGAAUCCAUAUGAAGUUCUCAUAUCAUAGUAUUAACCUAAAACUAAACAACUUGCAGAAGGAUAAGUCACUACAG
This 1808-nucleotide long non-coding RNA is filed under the name Triticum aestivum (bread wheat). RNAcentral describes it as "long non-coding RNA (TAES_LNC017279)". Lineage: Eukaryota; Viridiplantae; Streptophyta; Magnoliopsida; Poales; Poaceae. The record is from RNAcentral.